ACACGAUCAAAUUAUCAAAAUUAAACUUAUAUAUAGAACAAAACAAAUGAGAAAUCGCCUUUAAAAAAAAGAAAAAAAAAAAAGAUUGAGAGCAGUUUGAUGUACAAACAACCCGCACCAUUGCCAGGAUUCGGAAAAUGACCACCCCAAGAAAAGAAAAUCCUUUGGUCACAUGUAACAUCACUGCAUUCAUGGGCAGUGAGCGUUAACUUAUAAAUAGAUUCCUCUGAAGGGUGUGAUGAGCAUCCUACAGGCCACGGCCACAAAGAAAUCACAAAUUCACAAG
Arachis ipaensis is the source of this 286-nucleotide non-coding RNA. The record is from RefSeq and is a predicted model, not a curated record. NCBI's taxonomy places the organism in Eukaryota, Viridiplantae, Streptophyta, Magnoliopsida, Fabales, Fabaceae.